Molecule: ribosomal RNA, 564 nt
Filed under: uncultured marine eukaryote
Lineage: Eukaryota
Description: SSU rRNA
Rfam family: Eukaryotic small subunit ribosomal RNA
Source: RNAcentral
GUUAAAAAGCUCGUAGUUGGAUUCCUGACCUGGGGUAGCCGGUCCGCCUUGCAAAAGGUGCGCACUGAGCGGCCUCGGUCAUCCUUGAGAAGAGCGGUCCUGGCAUUCAGUUGUCGGGGUCGGGAUUCUCGACGUUUACUGUGAAAAAAUCAGAGUGUUCAACGCAGGCUUACGCCUUGAAUACAUUAGCAUGGAAUAAUGAGAUAGGACCUUGGCGGUCUAUUUUGUUGGUUUGCACGCCGAGGUAAUGAUUAAAAGGGACGGUUGGGGUUCUUCGUAUUCAAUUGUCAGAGGUGAAAUUCUUGGAUUUAUGGAAGACGAACUGCUGCGAAAGCGUCGAACAAGGACGUUCUCAUUAAUCAAGAACGAAAGUUAGGGGAUCGAAGAUGAUUAGAUACCACCGUAGUCUUAACCAUAAACUAUGCCGAUUCAGGAUUGGCGGUCGUUUGUUCUCGACUCCGUCAGCACUGUAUGAGAAAUCAAAAUCUUUGGGUUCCGGGGGGAGUAUGGUCGCAAGGCUGAAACUUAAAGAAAUUGACGGAAGGGCACCACCAGGAGUGGAGC